UGGUAAAAGCUAAGGGGCAAGACUGUCUUGAAAACAGUUGACGGGGGCUCACGACCCCCUUUACCAG
This 67-nucleotide transfer RNA is filed under the name Patelloida saccharinoides. RNAcentral describes it as "tRNA-Ser". The record is from RNAcentral. Lineage: Eukaryota; Metazoa; Mollusca; Gastropoda; Lottiidae.